RNAcentral lists this ribosomal RNA (524 nucleotides) under uncultured bacterium. RNAcentral describes it as "bacterial SSU rRNA". It matches the Rfam family "Bacterial small subunit ribosomal RNA", at positions 355 to 896 of the family's 1533-position model. The record is from RNAcentral.
UGGGGAAUAUUGGACAAUGGGCGAAAGCCUGAUCCAGCAAUGCCGCGUGGAUGAAGAAGGUCUUCGGAUUGUAAAGUCCUUUCGGCGGGGACGAUGAUGACGGUACCCGCAGAAGAAGCCCCGGCUAACUUCGUGCCAGCAGCCGCGGUAAUACGAAGGGGGCUAGCGUUGCUCGGAAUGACUGGGCGUAAAGGGCGCGUAGGCGGUUUGGACAGUUGGGCGUGAAAUUCCUGGGCUUAACCCGGGGGCUGCGCUCAAUACAUCCAGGCUUGAGUGAGGAAGAGGGUCGUGGAAUUCCCAGUGUAGAGGUGAAAUUCGUAGAUAUUGGGAAGAACACCGGUGGCGAAGGCGGCGACCUGGUCCUUUACUGACGCUGAGGCGCGAAAGCGUGGGGAGCAAACAGGAUUAGAUACCCUGGUAGUCCACGCCGUAAACGAUGUGUGCUGGAUGUUGGGCGACCUAGUCGCUCAGUGUCGUAGCUAACGCGGUAAGCACACCGCCUGGGGAGUACGGCCGCAAGGUUG